RNAcentral lists this ribosomal RNA (171 nucleotides) under uncultured bacterium. RNAcentral describes it as "partial 16S ribosomal RNA". The stretch from base 1 to 79 matches the Rfam family "Bacterial small subunit ribosomal RNA", at positions 796 to 873 of the family's 1533-position model. The record is from RNAcentral.
CACGCCAUAAACGAUGAGCACUAGGUGUCGCGGGUAUUGACCCCUGCGGUGCCGCCGCUAACGCAUUAAGUGCUCCGCCUGGGGANAACGCGCAGAACCUUACCUGGGCUAGACAACAUCGGACAGUCCUGGAGACAGGAUCUUCCCUUCGGGGACCGGUGGUUCAGGUGC